This 253-nucleotide ribosomal RNA is filed under the name uncultured bacterium. RNAcentral describes it as "partial 16S ribosomal RNA". It matches the Rfam family "Bacterial small subunit ribosomal RNA", at positions 524 to 776 of the family's 1533-position model. The record is from RNAcentral.
UACGAAGGGGGCGAGCGUUGUUCGGAAUUACUGGGCGUAAAGGGCGCGCAGGCGGCCCUUGAAGUCAGGCGUGAAAGCCCCGGGCUCAACCUGGGAGGUGCGCUUGAUACUCGAGGGCUUGAGUGCGGGAGAGGAGAGUGGAAUUCCCAGUGUAGAGGUGAAAUUCGUAGAUAUUGGGAAGAACACCGGUGGCGAAGGCGGCAUCCUGGACCGGUAUUGACGCUGAGGCGCGAAAGCUAGGGGAGCAAACAGG